This 245-nucleotide ribosomal RNA is filed under the name uncultured bacterium. RNAcentral describes it as "partial 16S ribosomal RNA". It matches the Rfam family "Bacterial small subunit ribosomal RNA", at positions 57 to 305 of the family's 1533-position model. The record is from RNAcentral.
GCAAGUCGAACGCGAAAGUCCUUCGGGGCGAGUAGAGUGGCGGACGGGUGAGUAACGCGUGGGAAUCUACCCUGUAGUGGGGGACAACCCGGGGAAACUCGGGCUAAUACCGCAUACGUCCCAGGGGAGAAAGAGGGCCUCUGCUUGCAAGCUCUCGCUAUGGGAUGAGCCCGCGUCAGAUUAGCUUGUUGGUAGGGUAAUGGCCUACCAAGGCGACGAUCUGUAGCUGGUCUGAGAGGACGAAC